RNAcentral lists this long non-coding RNA (2355 nucleotides) under Nicotiana benthamiana. RNAcentral describes it as "long non-coding RNA (NBEN_LNC037757)". The record is from RNAcentral. Lineage: Eukaryota; Viridiplantae; Streptophyta; Magnoliopsida; Solanales; Solanaceae.
ACCUUCCUUGUACCUACCUGUAAUGCCGCCUCCCCUGUCACUGCUCUACCGUCCGCCGGAAAUCGUCGCCGGCGGCGGCGGAGCUCCAAAUGAGCCCAAAACUUCACCACCAACACUCCUUCCUCUUCUUUCCGACCCCCGUAACCAUUUCCCUCAAAUCCCAUCCAAUCAACUCGAAUCUUAAUCCGAAACUUUCUGGCCAAGUGACAAGUUUUUCCAAAUAAUCCCAAAUUGAUACCAUACAAUCUCCUAGGCUUUCUCUGCACAAAUAUGUGGGUAUUUAACUUUACAUAUAGCUAGGCCGCCUCCAAUUUCCAAUGUAGGGUUGUAUGUGUUUGGACUGGUUUGGGAUUUUUUAAUUCGAAUGAACUUGUGUUAAUGUUAUGGGUCUAUUUCUUAUGAAAUGGACAUAUAAUAUUAACAUUUGAAGUUAGCUUUUCUAUUAAAUUGAUUCGUUGUUUUCUAGUAUAGUUCUUAAUUCCCAGUCUAGUUAGUAAAACCUCGUUGCUUUUAAUUGUUAUAAAUGUUUAGAUUAACUUCUUUUAGGUUGAUUGUCAUUUUUUUCUGUGAAUUCUGAUUCAAUUUUGGUUUCGUUAGUUUGAAUUCUCAAAUGUUAAGUGGUUCAGCUAAUCGUUAGUUUAAUUUGGCUUUUUCUAUUGUUCUGUUGAUGUGAUGUUGAUUUGGGAUAGGGCCAUGAUUCCAGAAAUUGGCUUAGUUUUAUAUGUCUGAUAAAGUUUUUAGGUUCAGUAGUAUAAAGGUUAAAUUUCUGUUAAUCUAUUCAAAUAUAAUUGUAGUUUGUUCAUGUUGAUUUUGUCUGUUUUAUUCUUCUGGAACUCACUCGGGUUGAUUUCAGUUUAUGAUUUUACUUGUUGGUUGUCAAUUCAAUUAGUGUUAAUUGGUAUUGAUUAUUGCAGAGUUUUAAUUAGGUUUAAGGUUUGGAUAUAGCUGAGUGGUCUAGUUUAUUUAACUUUAGUAAGGUGUUAACUGGGGUAAAGAGGUUUAGUGUAGUCAACUAAGGCCAGUAAUUUUAGACUAUUGGAAGGGCAAUUUAGGCAUAGAAAAGGGUAGUUUUAUUAGGAAUAGUAAUUUCAAAAUCAGGGCAGGGGUAGUAUAUGCAUUGUAUAGCUAAAAGAACCUUUCAGGACAUUCAAAAUGGGGCUUUAGUGUAAGUUUUAAUAAUUUUAGUAGUAGUUACUUGAGGAACAAGUUAGAAAUAGGAGGGUGAAAAUGAAAAUAGGUAGGGACUUAUAGUGUAAAUGGAAGAUUUGAGGGCUGCCCUCUUUUGGCUUAUAAAAGGGCAUUCCUAUACCUUGAAACACAAGCGGGGGGAACCUCUAAAAAUCCCCCAAAUACUCCUCAAGCUCAUAGAUCUGAAAAUUAAAAUUUCAGAUCCAAAUUCUUUAGUAUUCUAGCUUCCAUCAAAAGAAAAAACAAAAACAAAGUAGAAGAUCUUUAGGAAACAAAAAAGAGAAGUUCAGAAACUACUGUUCCAUUGAAGAUUUCGGGCUUUGGGUGUUUUAUUUUCAUUUCUUAGUUCGAAAUCUGUUGGUCGAGGGUUCAGAGGUGUUUUGAGUUUUCUUCAAGUGAUUUUAGGUGGUUUUUUGAUUGAGUUUUGCAUUGCGGAAGUUUCAAAAGUUUUGAGUUCAGCUUAGAAUCUGUUUGAAUGCAGUCCAGUAGUUUGUGAAUGAUGUUUUAGUCCCCGUUGGUUUCAAACUCUUUCUUGGUCAUUUCCAAGAAAAUUUGGUUUGUUUUGGAGUUGUCUGAGUCGAUCUUUCAGUUCUGAUUGGGUUUAAAUUUGGGUUGAUUUUGGUGAUUUGGGAAACUGUUAUUGCUUUUGGUUUUCAAACCUCUUCUGGGUUAUAAACUGAUUCCUGGGUUGUGUGUUGUUGCUACUCGCAUAUCUGCUGGUUUGCUGAUAUAGUGCUGCUACUGAUUUUCCUUUUUCUGUUGCAAAUUCCAUUUCCAGGUACAUGCUUGAGCUUGUUGUGAUGUAUUCCUCCCAUGAAAUGGGAAUGCAAUUGAUACUUGAUACAUGCUGAAGUGUCCUUUACUGUUUUAUCAACUCAUUUUAUUGCAGUUACUUUUAGAUUUGGUUUGUCUAAAUGGCAAUGCAAUUGAUACUUGAUACAUGAUGAAGUGUCCUUUACUGUUUUAUCAACUCAUUUUAUUGCAGUUAGUUUAAGAUUUGGUUUGACGAUUUUGCUACUCUAGCUCAUUUGUAAUGAACUGGGCCAAUAUGUAUUGGAUUGAUGAACUUUAAGCAUCAGCUACUCAUGUAAAUGGUUAGACUGAUUUUUGGCCUUUAACCAUGCUAUAGUGUAGUACAAGUCAUAAUUAUUCUCCAUUAAUUGAUAC